GACUCCGUAGCUCAGUUGGUAGAGCAGCUGACUCUUAAUCAGCGGGCCCAGAGUUCGAGUCUCUGCGGGGUCA
This 73-nucleotide transfer RNA is filed under the name Arachidicoccus ginsenosidivorans. Its description in RNAcentral is "Sphingobacteriaceae bacterium Gsoil 809 tRNA". It matches the Rfam family "tRNA". From Rfam's summary of the family: Transfer RNA (tRNA) molecules are approximately 80 nucleotides in length. Their secondary structure includes four short double-helical elements and three loops (D, anti-codon, and T loops). Further hydrogen bonds mediate the characteristic L-shaped molecular structure. tRNAs have two regions of fundamental functional importance: the anti-codon, which is responsible for specific mRNA codon recognition, and the 3' end, to which the tRNAs corresponding amino acid is attached (by aminoacyl-tRNA synthetases). tRNAs cope with the degeneracy of the genetic code in two manners: having more than one tRNA (with a specific anti-codon) for a particular amino acid; and 'wobble' base-pairing, i.e. permitting non-standard base-pairing at the 3rd anti-codon position. RNAcentral also lists the same sequence under 9 other names. Lineage: Bacteria; Pseudomonadati; Bacteroidota; Chitinophagia; Chitinophagales; Chitinophagaceae. The record is from Rfam by way of RNAcentral.